GAAAACAACCCCCCAAAUUUAACCUUUUUAAAACCGGGGGAAAA
This 44-nucleotide ribosomal RNA is filed under the name Oxyopes lineatipes. Its description in RNAcentral is "partial 28S ribosomal RNA". Lineage: Eukaryota; Metazoa; Arthropoda; Arachnida; Araneae; Oxyopidae. The record is from RNAcentral.